Physcomitrium patens is the source of this 3424-nucleotide non-coding RNA. The record is from RefSeq and is a predicted model, not a curated record. NCBI's taxonomy places the organism in Eukaryota, Viridiplantae, Streptophyta, Bryopsida, Funariales, Funariaceae.
GCCUUGUACAUACCACGCAUACAACAAGUCUACUCUAUCGCUAUUCGAUGCUACGCAAGUUAUUUUAUUUUUGGCUAUGGCGGAUCAUGUGCGAAGCCGUUCAUAAAUAGGUUAGUUUGACGUCUGCUAAAUCAUUGGUGGCUCACGUUGCCGCUCGGUGGCCGGAGGUUGUCUGGGGUAUCAAUGGUAUCGUGUGUUGGAGGUCACUGCGGUGGUAAGUUUUUUGUGUUUUGGAGAAGGGCCGCGGGCAUGUUUGGCCAUCGUUGUUUUGUUUCAGUGGCUGCGUGGCGGAGGAGUGGUCCAGUAACGGUGGUUAGAGGUUCAGUUUCGCUGAGUUACGGGUUCUCUUGAUGUUGCUUGUCUGUGAAGUGCAACCGACGAGCGCCGGACAGCGAACGAGGCGUUCAGAGUUGUCUUUUGAGGUUUUUUGAUGCGGUAUUUGUGAUUGUUUAAGGACUCUUAGUCUGCGAUUGGCGAUGGCUCAUUUAGAAAAUCAACCUACUUGAGGUUCUGCAUGCUUGGUGUCAGGGUUGUCAUGACCAGCUUCCACAUAUUGUAUUCAACUAAUGAUCUUUUGUGAGAGUUCGUGAGUGCUUGACAUGGUUCUGCGCGAUCCUCUCAAUCAGGCUGCCGAGGGCAGUACGGAGUAGUUGCGUGUUGUUGUGUCGUAUGCUACAACAUGAUACAUCUCUCACUGAGUAGACGCAUUAAGUGCGUUGAUGAGCUAGCUGGAACUGACGUAAGUAACAAUGACAUAUUGCUGUCAUUUUGCGAUGUUUUACAAUGCAGGAGCAUAAAAUUGUGAGCUCAAAUAGUGUUUGGCACUUUGUAUCACUGAAGCCAGAUGAUUUGAACAAUGUCAUUAUCAUACAUAGACUGUAGAAACACCUGAAGCUAUUGAUCUCUACUUUGUUGUAACCGAUCUUUAUGGAAAGUGCACGAAAAUGUGUAUGCUGUGAUCGCACGAUUGGUGACAUCAGUAACUUGAGGUGUUUCUACAGGCUACUUAUGCUUGAUGAUUAUCUUAGGAGAGUAGGUAAAUGAUCAUCUGCUACUGCAAUAGGUCCAUUCAGCUCUAAUGGACCAUUGAUCCUAACAGUGCGUUGUCGACUCAUAAGGUACGUCUUACAUUAGUCGGUAACCACAGCACACCUCAAAUUCUUAGAUCAUUUGAAACAUCACCUGUAAAUUGACGACGCUUCUGGUGAAGCUUGGAACAAUAAUUUGGUAUGUUUUAGAGAGGAAGGCGGAAUGAAGAAGGGGAAGUCGAUCGCUACUUUGAUGCAACAGACACCAUCAAACCUCAACGACUUGACGCUGCGACAGACAAGCAAGUAGAGCAUACGUUUCGACGGAAUGCUCUCCUCCUUGAAUUUUGAAGUGGCGACAGCGCACAUGCCAGUCCAAACCACUCUCGAAGGGUUAUACCAGUCAGUCAGGAGCGUGUGCUUGUCUAGUGUACUAUUCUGCUGAUUCCUAGGUUCUUACAUGUCUCCUAAUCGUGCCCUUAGUAGUGGCUUCUUUUAAUAGGAUUGUCAUUGUAGCACUAAUUGUAGUAUAAGUACUCAAUUUGCAGUUCAAAUGUAGGUGUUAUGAGGGUCUUCUAUUCGGUCAAUAUCAGCUGAGUCAAUGCUUAGGAUUUAGAAAACGACCAUUUGCAGCGACCAGUUUUGUGCAUGAUCGCGACCACUCAAGUGAAAGCGGAUGUGGUUGUUAUGAACGGCACGAUGUAAGAAUCAAGUGUACGAAACGUUAUUACACAAAAACGCAUUGCAAUUCAAACUGAGUACAUUUCCUGAUCAUGCAAGACCAGUCGCAAUCAAACUUCCCGUGCAUGCCCUGUGGAUGGUCUGAUUAAACUGCCACAGUUGUGCCGCCUGGAUCGUGGUUUCAACAUGCUCAGUAUCUCAAUAAACAAAAUAUUGGCGAAAAGUGUGAUAGUAGCUCUCGAAAGCAAGUUCUGUACCGGGUGUGGUAGCCGCAUAAACAAGACUCCAGGCCUGGGAAUCAGUUGAAGGACAGUGCAUGUCUGGCGCAUAAACGUGAGUUGCGAAGAUGGUAACUCCAAGUUGAAAUAGGUGGAAACGAUAAAUUAGACAUGCCUGGAGUUCGCCGAGCUGACUCGAAGUUCACCCUGUUUACAUUCUUCGUUCACCUUCUUUCCUCAUUCCUGACGGACUUGCGUUGGAAUCUGUCAGCAGGUAGUGCGGACCUUCUAUUUCAUAACUUGCAGCUGCUUUUGCUUUACGGUUGUGUGUGAUCGGCGCCUCUCUGGGUGGAGUUGAUCUGUUGCAUUGAUUUAUAAGGAUUAUGCACAAUUUUUGAUACAGUGGUGGGUUUGACACUUCCACUCUCUAACCGCUCAACGGAUUCAUCGAAUUGAUUUCUUGAUUGCCAGCGUUAUGCAAUCUUGCUCGACUCAAGGUUGUUGCAUUCUCAUAUCAGUCCUUCACACUCUGCAUACUCUACCGUUGGUGCAACUGUGAUCGGGCUACUGGAACGUUUCCAGACACAAAAAGAGAAACUGUGUGCUUUAUCUUACUAAAACAUUGAGUCUGCUGCGCAGAUGGCCUUCACAUUAGGGUAAAGUUGUUUUUGUUUGGUAGAUAGUAAGACUGUCUGGGUCGAUGUUCCCUGCUCUAUGUACUGGCGUACACGCCGUUUUGGUAGUACCGUCGUGCGAUUGGAUUAGUCUAGUGCUUUUACGAACUUUUACCACUGCUGUUACACUUGGAGUGUAGUUUUUCAACGAAGGUGUUUUUCUCGAAGACAACUGUGUAGGAGGUAAAUAUGAUACAUAACUAAUGCGACAAAUAGUAUGUGCUCGUCUGUUUGAAAUACCCACUUAUGGAGCUAUCAGCUGACUCAUUCAUUUCGGAAUGGCGUUGGCUCAACGUUGGAGACAACAUAAGUGUUUGAAACACCUGUUUCAACCUACAAUCAAAGGAUGACUUAGUCCUACAUGACGUAAUAGUUUGUGUGAAGUACUUCCUGCACUUCGCAACUUGCUACACGGACUGUUGUAGUGACAUUCUGUUAUUGAAGCGCACUUGAUAACCGAGUCAAGAAAGAGACGAUGAUGUCCGUAACAUUCUUGAGAAACCCCUCUGAUUACCCUUGACUUUGCACACUCUUUACUUUGCAGCACCAGAAUCUCUGCAUACUCUUUUGUAGCCUUUUAGAGCUCGACUGGAGAAAGUUGAGAUCCUUCCAAGCCAAUGACUCUUCAAGGCCGUCACUGGUGAGAGUGUGUUUUCACAGCUUCGAUUCUCUUUCAUUUGCUUGCUGGGGGUGCUUUUCCUUAGAAUGUUGUCAUUCCUAUUAAUUCAGCAAUAAACAUUCAGAUCGAUCAUUUUUGAGACCGUUCUGAUUCAUAGUGUAAGCAAAUGUCAUCAUCAUAGAAGUAAAAUGAUAAAAUGGCUCA